Molecule: transfer RNA, 68 nt
Filed under: Haymondia wallichii
Lineage: Eukaryota; Viridiplantae; Streptophyta; Magnoliopsida; Fabales; Fabaceae
Description: partial tRNA-Tyr
Source: RNAcentral
CCCCUUUUGAUUCCAUUCCUAAAUAAGGAACUAGCCAAUAUGACUUAGUACAUCUAUAUGUUACUGCA